AAGUCGUAACAAGGUUUCCGUAGGUGAACCUGCGGAAGGAUCAUUAUUACGUAUCCACGUAUCAAACCAAAUCGUGAACUGUUUCCCGUCUGAUGAGGAUUUCUGCGAGUGUUUGAACAUUUAUUAAAUGCAUGGUGAGGACUCCUAGUCGCAAGACUGGUUUCUUCGAAAUGGCACUCGGUCCUGGUUGCCCUCUCGGGGCUUCAGCCAGCUCAUUAGAUGUGGUUGAAUUUCAAUCACUAUGCUAAAACUAUUAACCCCUUGUAAGACACUUGAACUAAAUUACGGAGACAAGACCCUUAACCAGGAAACUAUCUCUGAUAAACCGAAACUUAAGAAACAACUCUUAACAACGGAUAUCUUGGUUCUC
Molecule: unclassified non-coding RNA, 370 nt
Filed under: fungal sp.
Lineage: Eukaryota; Fungi
Description: partial internal transcribed spacer region
Rfam family: Eukaryotic small subunit ribosomal RNA (bases 1-46)
Source: RNAcentral